Molecule: ribosomal RNA, 470 nt
Filed under: uncultured bacterium
Lineage: Bacteria
Description: partial 16S ribosomal RNA
Rfam family: Bacterial small subunit ribosomal RNA
Source: RNAcentral
ACGAACGCUGGCGGCGUGCUUAACACAUGCCAGUCGAACGCUGAAGCUUGGUGCUUGCACUGGGUGGAUGAGUGGCGAACGGGUGAGUAAUACGUGAGUAACCUGCCCUUGACUCUGGGAUAAGCCUGGGAAACUGGGUCUAAUACUGGAUAUGACAUGCCACUGCAUGGUGGUGUGUGGAAAGGGUUUUACUGGUUUUGGAUGGGCUCACGGCCUAUCAGCUUGUUGGUGGGGUAAUGGCCUACCAAGGCGACGACGGGUAGCCGGCCUGAGAGGGUGACCGGCCACACUGGGACUGAGACACGGCCCAGACUCCUACGGGAGGCAGCAGUGGGGAAUAUUGCACAAUGGGCGGAAGCCUGAUGCAGCGACGCCGCGUGAGGGAUGACGGCCUUCGGGUUGUAAACCUCUUUCAGCACGGAAGAAGCGAGAGUGACGGUACGUGCAGAAGAAGCGCCGGCUAACUACGU